RNAcentral lists this long non-coding RNA (1236 nucleotides) under Helianthus annuus (common sunflower). Lineage: Eukaryota; Viridiplantae; Streptophyta; Magnoliopsida; Asterales; Asteraceae. The record is from RNAcentral.
UUUCAAAAGGAAGUUGUUCUCAUGACUGAACUUGAACAAACUUUUCUAGCCCUAAUUUCUUUCUCCAGAGGGAUGUCACCCUGCUCCCAUCACUGGCCCGGUAGGAUGGAUGCAAGUGUAGAUCUAUAUAUUUCAUAUACGGGGUAAAUGGAUCAGAUAGCAUGUAAAAAAGUGUUGGGUUGAUUCCAAAUAUAUUUUAAUUUUACAUUUUAUAUAUAACAAGUUUUAGUGUUUAUACAGUAAAAAAGGACAUUUUUAGCAAGUUCAUUUUAGGCUAAUUUUGUUUGUUUUACGUGUUUGACCAGCUAUGAUAAAACAUAACCCGUACUGACUCAUAACCCGACCCCCUCGAACUUUUCGCUCAAUAGUGUUAUAUAUGUAGUUUUCGUAUAGAAAUUUUUGGGUACAUACGUUUUCGACCCCCCGGUUCUAUAGAUAUUUUUGGGUAUAUACGUUUUCGAUCCCCCCAUCGAAAACUUCAAGCUUCGCCAUUGUACUGACUCAUACUAAUGAAAUAGUUGAAGCAUAAUAUUUCUAUCUCCAUGACAAGCAAAACUAAUGGGAAAGGCAACACUUUGAUAGGAUUUGCUAAGCAAUCCAUGAAGGAAUCUAUUGUAAGCGUGCUACUUGUCGAUGAAGGAUGUGCUAGGAAUGGUCUUUCUUAAAAAAGUUAUGGUCCUUAACAAAAAUCAAGGUUAAUGUAGUUAAUUUCCUACCGAUCAUUUUACAAUUUUUCUGGAUUAUUAGGAUGCUAAUGAAAGAGUAUUUCCGUUACAAGGAUGACGAAGAGACGAGAUGUCACUGAAGAAGCUGAAGAUAAUGUGUAAAGCCUUACUUCUAAGAUAAUGCUCAUAAAUUCACAUAUAUUACGGCUCUGUGUUGGACGAGGGAGACGAAGCUACUAAAAGGUUCACUUACUUCCUCGGGAAGCCUAGCUGCUUUGUACGCUAUAAUGAAGCUGAAGUGCACAUCAACCGACACCUCACUCUGUUUGUGUGCACGAAGUAUGAUGCAAAGAAAGGUCGCCAAGAAUGAACAACAACCCAUUUGUAAGGUCAAGGCUUACAGAAAGCAGCUCAUCAUUUUUUAACCACAACAACAGCUAGGAGAUGUGAAUGUAUGUUUGUUGCGUGUAAUUAUCAUACAUUUGGUCGAUAAAUAAACAUGUUAGUUAAUAAACCCUGCCGCAUAAAUUGGUAUUCGUUCCGUCUUAAUUUGUAAGCCCCUAUUGCGUUU